CCAGUAGCGGCGAGCGAACGGGGAGCAGCCCAGAGCCUGAAUCAGUGUGUGUGUUAGUGGAAGCGUCUGGAAAGGCGUGCGAUACAGGGUGACAGCCCCGUACACAAAAAUGCACAUGCUGUGAGCUCGAUGAGUAGGGCGGGACACGUGGUAUCCUGUCUGAAUAUGGGGGGACCAUCCUCCAAGGCUAAAUACUCCUGACUGACCGAUAGUGAACCAGUACCGUGAGGGAAAGGCGAAAAGAACCCCGGCGAGGGGAGUGAAAAAGAACCUGAAACCGUGUACGUACAAGCAGUGGGAGCACGCUUAGGCGUGUGACUGCGUACCUUUUGUAUAAUGGGUCAGCGACUUAUAUUCUGUAGCAAGGUUAACCGAAUAGGGGAGCCGAA
This 389-nucleotide ribosomal RNA is filed under the name Escherichia coli. RNAcentral's name for it is "partial 23S ribosomal RNA". It matches the Rfam family "Bacterial large subunit ribosomal RNA", at positions 240 to 670 of the family's 2925-position model. The record is from RNAcentral. Lineage: Bacteria; Pseudomonadati; Pseudomonadota; Gammaproteobacteria; Enterobacterales; Enterobacteriaceae.